CUGUAAUGAAGCUGACAGAAGACCUCCAUUUGCAUUAAGAAUACAUAAGCAGCCUGGGUUAUCACCAGAACAUCCAGUUUGAAGGUUCUCCAUGGUCUUCAGCCACCACAAACAGUCUGAACUCAUCACCUUCUCCUUCUGCUAAGGGACGUGUCACUCUUAUUUCUCCGAAAUGAUCCUUAGCAAUCUUGAAUUAAUCUCACUGAUAUCCAGACCAAGAUCCUGUGCAAUUCUUCCAACAAAGGUUCCGUGUUUGGAUUCUUCAGGGAUGCUGUAAUGAAGCUGACAGAGGACCUGAUUCCAAGCCAUUAGCAAUAAGGAAAAAUAAACAGCCUGGAUUAUCACCAGAAUAUUUCUUCUAAAAGUAGGCAUUUCCUGUAUUUUGAAGAUGUUUCAUAUAUUUCAACAAGCAUCCAACAACAGUCUUGUUUUAUGAAAUGAUUAAAAAAGAAAGCAUCUACGAUUUUCAACAAGACUAGCAGCAAUAUGGCUGAUUCACGUGAAAAAAAUCCAAUUGGAUGGCUUUUCAGAGAUAAGGAAGGUUAAUACUGACAUCUUGUGUUGGAAUGUGAUUGUGCAUAAAAUUCUUUCCUUCUUAAAUUAUUUUCUCAUAAGAAAAUGUGCGAUAGUAGUUAUUACAGUUAUUAUUUAUACUAAAUAACACCAAUAAUAAAAAGUUCUGCAUUAUUAAAAUGUGUUAAUAUCUCUGUAGAAUAUCAUCUAUAGAUAUUGGUUUAGUUCGCUAUUAGGUUUAUAUGCAUUUAAACCUGCAGUUAUUGUCUCAUUUUAACACCAAAAAUGUAUUUUGCCAGAAGUUAUUCCGUAAGAAUAGUAUUUUAUUUCAAAAUUAGAUAGGAUGAAAUUACACUUCUUGUUCUCAAGAUGCUGCAUAGAAGCACUCCCCACUUCUAGUGCACAAUUUAAAUGGAUGUGGAUUUAUAUUUAGAAACUUUUAAAAUUUACAAGAAAAGUGUUAUCAAAAUUGAAUUGGGUAUUUUACAUGCAUGCAACAAUACACAGAUAACUAGAGGGUAAAUAACGUAGUCUUACUUACUUUCCAUAAUACAGAAAGCAAAAUGCAAAAAUGUGUCUUCUACAUAGUGAGUGUGCCAUUAUGCUGUUCCAUAUUAAACUGAACUUAGGUGAAAACCUUUAUUUAUAAAUAAUCUUUUUCAUUUUUGCUGUAAAGGGCAAAUUACAUGAUACUCUGGUUCCAUAUGAAACUAUAAAACUGCAACAAUA
Xenopus laevis (African clawed frog) is the source of this 1242-nucleotide long non-coding RNA. RefSeq lists it as uncharacterized. The transcript has 3 exons. The record is from RefSeq and is a predicted model, not a curated record. Lineage: Eukaryota; Metazoa; Chordata; Amphibia; Anura; Pipidae.